GACGAACGCUGGCGGCGUGCUUAACACAUGCAAGUCGAACGGAAAGGCCCCUUUGGGGUUACUCGAGUGGCGGACGGUUGCGUAACACGGGAGUAACCUGCCCUUGCUUCCGUGACGACUUCAGGAAACUGGGGCUACUACCGCUUAGAACUCCUUCCACCUUGGGGUGGGUGCGGAGGCUCCGCCGGCUUUGGGUGGACUCGCGGGCCGAUGGCUUGUUGGUGAGGUAGUGGCUUACCGAGGCAUUGACGGGUAGCCGGCCUGAGAGGGCGAGAGGCCGCAUUGGGACUGAGAUGCGGCCCAGACGCCUACGGGAGGCAGAAGGGGGGAAGAUUGCACAAUGGGCGGAAGCCUGAUGCAGCAGCGCCGCGGGUGGGAUGACGGUCUUCGGGUUGUAAACCGCUUUCAGCAGGGGAGAAGCUUGUGGUGACGGUACCUGAAGAAGAAGCACCGGCUAACUACGUG
Molecule: ribosomal RNA, 465 nt
Filed under: uncultured bacterium
Lineage: Bacteria
Description: partial 16S ribosomal RNA
Rfam family: Bacterial small subunit ribosomal RNA
Source: RNAcentral